Molecule: ribosomal RNA, 850 nt
Filed under: Nanometa sp. FAPDNA066
Lineage: Eukaryota; Metazoa; Arthropoda; Arachnida; Araneae; Tetragnathidae
Description: SSU rRNA
Rfam family: Eukaryotic small subunit ribosomal RNA
Source: RNAcentral
UCAUAUGCUUGUCUCAAAGAUUAAGCCAUGCAUGUCUGAGUACAUGCCGUAUUAAGGCGAAACCGCGAAUGGCUCAUUAAAUCAGUUAUGGUUCCUUGGAUCGUACUUCACUACUUGGAUAACUGUGGCAAUUCUAGAGCUAAUACAUGCAGCAGAGCUCCGACCUUCGGGGACGAGCGCUUUUAUUAGACCAAAACCGAUCGGGCCUCGUGUCCGUGAAACGUGGUGACUCUGUAUAACUUUGGGCUGAUCGCACGGGCUCGUCCCGGCGACGUAUCUUUCAAGUGUCUGCCUUAUCAACUGUCGAUGGUAGGUUAUGCGCUUACCAUGGUCGUAACGGGUAACGGGGGAUCAGGGUUCGAUUCCGGAGAGGGAGCCUGAGAAACGGCUACCACAUCCAAGGAAGGCAGCAGGCGCGCAAAUUACCCACUCCCGGAACGGGGAGGUAGUGACGAAAAAUAACAAUACGGGACUCUUUUGAGACCCCGUAAUUGGAAUGAGUACACUCUAAAUCCUUUAACGAGGAUCUAUUUGAGGGAAAGUCUGGUGCCAGCAGCUGCGGUAACUCCAGCUCAAAUAGCGUAUAUUAAAGUUGUUGCGGUUAAAAAGCUCGUAGUUGGAUCUCAGUUCGAGACGGGCGGUCCGCCUACCGGUGGUCACUGCCUGUUCUCAACACCGGCCGGUUUCCCUGGAUGAUCUUCACCGGUUGUCUUGGGUGACCGGCAAGUUUACUUUGAAAAAAUUAGAGUGCUCAAAGCAGGCGCGACGCCUGGAUAAUGGUGCAUGGAAUAAUGGAAUAGGACCUCGGUUCUAUUUUGUUGGUUUUCGGAACACGAGGUAAUGAUUAAGA